GGAACGAUGAGGAUCCUAAUAGGGUAAGACAUCAGGCCUCCUUCCUGAGCCCCUCUUUGGCAUCUUGUCUGGUCUGCUGGGUCGUUUCUUCCUGGUCCAGCUUCCCUUUGCUCCUCCCAGAGCCUCGCCCCUGAAGGCUCCACAGAGUAGUAAUGAAUGAGUUGGCGGUACAUGCCGGAAUCUUUAUUUCUGUAACACCCUGUCUCCCUGGCCACCCCACAUUCUCCCAGGAGAUUUAUCUUCUUCAAGUUCCCACACAUCAGGCCUCUGGGGGAUAUGUAGGUCUGGGAAACCAGAAUUCACCAUCAUCAAUGGUGGGGAGGAGGCUGUUGCCAUGAGACUUCAGGCCUAUCCAUCCCCUCCACUCCAGUCCCUCCCAGGCGCCUUAGCCAUCUGUGCCCUUGGGCUUCUGGAAAACAGACAGCUCAGCUCCCUCCACCCUUGCCUUCCUCUGUCCAUGCUUGAGCUUCUGAUCUCUACUCCAGGGCACUUGCUGAAUAGAGCCUUGUUCUCUGCCGCCAGUGAGGGAGCCAUACGGCAAGGGCAGCCCCAAGGGGACUGGGCUGCUUUUAUCCCAAGAUGCCAGGAUGUCAGCCCCGGGUGCUGUACAAGCUCCCAGCUCAAUGGACUUCUCGGAAAGCAUCGAAGGGGGCCUGGAGUACAGCGGGAAGCAGGCUGUGUGCCCACCCCUGAUCAUUGUGUCUAUGCCAAGGGCAAAACCUCAAUGCCUCCCGGGACAAUCCCACUUCUGGUCUCAACUCAUAUACACAGUGCCUGCUGUUUCCUACCGAUGCCAGACUCUAAUUCCAGUGGCCAUGCAAUUCCAGUGUCACCUGCAGGCUUUGCUUGCACACCUGCCCCUGCCCAGCAGAGAUCAAGACUGGCUGGCUGACCCCAUCCCAUGGUGCUGCCCAGUGGAAGGGAAGUGAACCCCAGGACCACUAGAUGGCAGUGCUCAGCUGCCCAGGCAGACUCACCUCUGCUGUGACGGUGCCCUCUUGAGAAGAAAGCAAUACUUUGGCUCCUCUGUGGCUGUGAAGUCUUGGAUGACCCAGGAACCGUCACCGAAUCCAGAUCUGUGAAAUGAGGACUUACCUUCCAAGAACAUUAUCAGUGAGAGACAGCCACAUCAGGCACUGUUGUCAUCUCAUAAUGCCUGGGAGUAUGUGAGAACCUUCUAAGGGAGGUCACGCGGCAGUGUGGCUAGGACCAAGGAACCGCACAACAUUCAUCCCCAACUGUUCUGGUCACCUCUUCACAGAACUAUGGAAAGCCAGGCAUGGUGGCACUCUGUGAGUUCCAGGGUAGCCUGGUCUACGUAGCGAGUUCCAGGACAGACAACACUACAUAGAGAGACCCUGUCUCAAACAAACAAAUAAACACAAAAGAACUAUGGAAGAGAAGACAGCCAUGACUUACAUGCUACCUGGAACCAGGAUCAUUCUCCAGGGAGAAUCUGGAGACAGUCUCAUCGUCCAUGCAAGUCAGAUGGAAGCUGCAUCUCAGCUGGCUGGCCCCCCGCAGCCCCCGCCAGCCCGACUGCCUAUGGCAUGCAGGACACCACACAGCAAGCUCUCGGGCCGACCUCCUGUGAUUGAGGGCAGGAGCCGCACGUGCCUUGCUCCAUCAGCCCAGAGUCUCUGUACAUUUUACGGGUCACCCGAGAGCACACUUUGUACCACGGAGCCGCAAAUGUUUGCGCAGUGAAUGGCUGGCUGCUGAACAUCCUUGUCAAGAGUGACCUCUUCCACUGUCCGGCUGCCCCACGCCUGGCAAAGUCUGCCUCAUGCAAGGACCCCGCUGUGCAUUGCAUGCCCUCCUGGCCCUCGUUACUGGCCGCCUUGCCCCGUGCCGACUGCCUCUGCCCUUGGAGGGCGAUAGUGAUGAUCAGAAGAGGUAAUAUAUGUGAAGACCCCGGGAAAUGGAGACGUUAUUCCAUCGGAAUCCAGCCAUCACUCAGCGAGGCCUCAAGUGAAAGUGCCGUGCCAACUGCCAGGGGAUACAGAUGUGAAUCUGUGACGACGUCGAGGGAGCCACGGAACACAGGGGAACAAACUCAUUAAGACUAAUUGGAGA
Peromyscus leucopus (white-footed mouse) is the source of this 2076-nucleotide long non-coding RNA. RefSeq lists it as uncharacterized. The transcript has 5 exons. The record is from RefSeq and is a predicted model, not a curated record. NCBI's taxonomy places the organism in Eukaryota, Metazoa, Chordata, Mammalia, Rodentia, Cricetidae.